RNAcentral lists this long non-coding RNA (234 nucleotides) under Olea europaea subsp. europaea. Lineage: Eukaryota; Viridiplantae; Streptophyta; Magnoliopsida; Lamiales; Oleaceae. The record is from RNAcentral.
GAACAACAAAUGGUUUUCCAUGUUAUUGUAAUGUAGGACUUCGAUGUGCUGACGAAAAAUAGUCUGCCACUUUUCCCACUUAAAACAAGUAACAAAAGGAAGGAAAUAAAUCAAACACAACCAAAUCCAGUUCAUUUUCUACAGCUAGGAACUUGUACAUAACAGGACAUGAUAAUGAAGACAAUAACCUUUGGGAAACAUCAUGCCAAAUCGCACUUCCAAUAACAUCUCCAA